UUUUUUUUAUUUUUUAUUUUAUUUUUUUUUUUUGCAUUUAGCAGCCUCAUAAUUUUUUUUUCAUAAAUUGUUUCAUAAAAUUUAUAUUUACAACAUUGACCUUAUUCCUGUCACGCAAGCGUCAGUCAUAGUUUAGGUUAAGUUGAAAACACGGUGAAUGAUUCGUCAUAUUCCUUUAUUUUUUCUACUAUAGUAUUACGUAAUAUUCGGAAUUUAAGAUUUAAGAAAGGUAGGGUGAAUCAUUUGCGCAGUGAAUGGCUCAUCGUGUUCAACUUAAUCUCCAUCGCCAUCAACGCUCGCAUGACAUUUACAUGACACUUGCGUGGCGGGGAUAGAGCUAAUUUUGCAAAUAUAAACUUUAUAAGAUUAUUUGUAGAAAAAAAAUUUCUAAGAAGACUAAAUGCAAAAAAAGCCCCAAGCAAAAAAGUUAUUAUUAUUUUUUCUUGACCAAUUUGCAUAAAAAAUUCACAAAUUUGAGCUUUUACAAAAUUGGACCGCCUUUUUUUAUUUUACUUUUGAAUUUUUAAUAAAUUGACCAAAAUACCCAUAUUAUUUUUUCUCUCUCUUUUUUUUUUCUUGUUCAAUUUUUUUUCUCUCCGAAGAAGGCAACGGAGGCAAAGGCGGAGGAGGAAAUGGCCCGCCUUGCCUCUCACCCUCAUGCCCUCGCCCUCAUCUCUGUACCCCCGGCCUUCCUCGCCUCCAAUCCCGCCGAAACCGCGCUGCGACUCUUUUUAUUUUUCCUUUCUUCGACCCUCCUCCACCGUCUCCGACGACGACGUCUCUCUCGCCUUUUCCCGCCCUUCUCGCCCUCUCCCUCUCCCUCCUCCUCCUCCUUCACCUCCUCCUUCGCCUCCGACGCCGACGCCGACGCCGACGCCGACGCCGACGCCGACGCCGACGCCGACGCCGCGGAGGUCGCUACGGCACCGUAAUCUCGGAGCGAGGGGUCCUUUGCGGCGUCGUUGCUGGCGCCGUGUCCGUUGACGAAGAAGCGUGACAAAAAAAAAUGUAGAAGAAGGAAGAAGAAAAAAAUAAAGACAAAAAAUUAUAGAAGAAGAAAGAUAAAGAUGGAAUUGCACUGUUAAAAUAAAAUUACACUGUUUAAAAAAAAAAUUGCACUGUUUUAAAUAAAAAUUACACUCUUUGAGACAGAAAUUAAACUCUUUGGAAUCAGAUUUACAGCACAAAGUUGCACUCUUUAGGUGAAAUUUACACCAUUUCUUUUUUCCUUCUUCUUCCUCCAAUUUACACCAUUUUUUUUUCUCUUCCUCUUCUUCCUCCUCCUCCUUCCC
RNAcentral lists this long non-coding RNA (1292 nucleotides) under Ananas comosus (pineapple). RNAcentral describes it as "long non-coding RNA (ACOM_LNC000447)". Lineage: Eukaryota; Viridiplantae; Streptophyta; Magnoliopsida; Poales; Bromeliaceae. The record is from RNAcentral.